Girardinichthys multiradiatus is the source of this 1798-nucleotide long non-coding RNA. RefSeq lists it as uncharacterized. The record is from RefSeq and is a predicted model, not a curated record. Lineage: Eukaryota; Metazoa; Chordata; Actinopteri; Cyprinodontiformes; Goodeidae. The transcript has 4 exons.
CUGUUUGCGGGAUGGUGGCUGCUGUGUCCAGAUGCGUUUCUCCAUCAGUAGCUGUUCAUCAGGGGCUUCAGUGGUCUGCAGGCUCACCAUCCAUGCUUUAAAAGACUGGAUUGUAUUUCUACAAAGCGUUUUGUAGCCACAGGACCAUGGACAGUGACACCAGCACCACAGUGGACUGGAAAGCUGCUUACAGUGCCAAGAACAGCAGGGAAAAGGUAGAUGGAGCAUCCUAGAUGAAACCUGUUAGAGGCUGCAGGCGGAGGUUCACCUUCCAGCAGGACAACGACCCUAAACAUACAGCUAGAGCUACGAUGUAAUGACUUAGGUCAUAGCAUAUUCAUGUGUUAGCAUGGCCAAGUCAAAGUCCAGGCCUAAAUACAAGUGAAAAUAUGUGGCAAGACUUGAGAACUGAUCUUCAGAGACAAUCUCAAUCCAGUCUGACUGUGCUUGAGCUAUUUUGCAAAGAAGAAUGAGCAAAAAUGUACAACCAAUAUAUAUAGAUGGUUAAUAGCUGCUGGAACUGCAAAGAAAGGUGGCUCUACAUAGUAUUGACUAGGGAGUAGGGUUGAAUAUAAAUACAUGCAACACUUUUCAGAUUGUUUUGUUAAAAAAUGUUAUGAGUUUCCUUCUACUUCAUAAUUUUAAAUGAUUUUUUGUUGGUCUGUCACAUGAAAUGCCUUUAAAUGUUUGUGGUUGGAACUGACACAAUAUAAAGGGGUGUGAAUAGUUUUGCAAAACACAGUUUUUCCUGUAAUUUACACUAUGUUUUAAAAGUUACAUUUUGAGGGGCUAUGACUUCAGGUGGCAAGCUCCUCAAAAUCAAAUAAACAUCAUUAAAAGAGCCCAGGUCUUCAGAGCAUCUCCACAUCUCACUGCCCCCCUGAUCCCAAGACACCACUCUGGGAAACCCUUGAUAAAAUGCAUUCAGUGUCUGUGGAGGGGAAGAUGUGGAGGUGUGUAUUUUUAAUUAAUUGAUUUAAUUUUAAAAUUGACUGCUUUAAUAUGACAAAUAUGUCCUAUGAACAAAUACAAAGUAGCAGAAAAGCAUUUGUUACGUUGUACUAAUAACCCUAGAUGUUUUUCUCAGAUCUCUGCAGUAAGGCGAGUCCAGUCUGGAAGGGACUCAUCUUCCUGCUCCGAAAUAAGAAUUAAGAAGGUAUUUUAAAUACUUUUUUUUAUUAUUGUCAAAUAAUUACACGUUUCUUUGUGGCUAGAAGGGGAGAAGGACAGUUUUAAUGUCUGUCUGUCAGCCGCUAAGACCAAUGCACUUCUCUUAGCAGAAAAUGGGCUUCUCAGAUCAGCUUGAACAAUAAAUACUCAGAGGCUGUUAAUCCCAGCAACAGCAGAUAGUCAGUCUCCUUCAACACCAGAAUUUGAUUCAACCAGUGAAAGCUGAUUUCAAAUUGAGCAGAUUCACAGUAAAGGUCACCGUACAAAAACAUUCAAACUAAUUAUAAAUGCAAAUUAAAGUUAUGUAUCUGAGGAAGCCAGCUGACUGUGUUCAAUCUUCACUUUUGUUACAAUCUCCCAUAGACUUCAACAUUGUUUUUUCGUGAAGUACAUUACCUGCUUAAAAAAGUUCUGUUAUUGCAACAGGACAACUUCUUCAUGGCAGUGUCCCUUUAAAGGGAGGUGGCAGUGAUGCAAGAACUGCAUGUAGAAGAAGGUCUCCAUCUCCCACAUGAAAAUGUCAAAGACGCCAUUUGGGCAGCAGCUGCAGUCCUGCAGUUUUACAAAGAUGGAGAAGCUACACCUGGCCUGACUCUGUGUCUACCUGUGACACCUUUCUGGAGAGGGG